CUACGGGUCGCUCCAGUGAGGAAUAUUGGGCAAUGGAGGAAACUCUGACCCAGCCAUGCCGCGUGCAGGAAGACGGCCCUAUGGGUUGUAAACUGCUUUUGUACGAGAAUAAACCUUUCCACGUGUGGAAAGCUGAAGGUACCGUACGAAUAAGGAUCGGCUAACUCCGUGCCAGCAGCCGCGGUAAUACGGAGGAUCCAAGCGUUAUCCGGAUUUAUUGGGUUUAAAGGGUCCGUAGGCGGGUUUUUAAGUCAGUGGUGAAAGCCUACAGCUCAACUGUAGAAUUGCCAUUGAUACUGGAGACCUUGAGUGUAGUAGAAGUAGGCGGAAUAAGGCAUGUAGCGGUGAAAUGCAUAGAUAUGCCUUAGAACACCGAUUGCGAAGGCAGCUUACUAUGUUACAACUGACGCUGAGGGACGAAAGCGUGGGGAGCGAACAGGAUUAGAUACCCUUGUAGUC
Molecule: ribosomal RNA, 459 nt
Filed under: uncultured bacterium
Lineage: Bacteria
Description: partial 16S ribosomal RNA
Rfam family: Bacterial small subunit ribosomal RNA
Source: RNAcentral